This 299-nucleotide long non-coding RNA is filed under the name Gossypium raimondii (Peruvian cotton). RNAcentral's name for it is "long non-coding RNA (GRAI_LNC003185)". Lineage: Eukaryota; Viridiplantae; Streptophyta; Magnoliopsida; Malvales; Malvaceae. The record is from RNAcentral.
UGGUACAGAGGCACGUGGUGGCUCGCGUGGGCAGGGUGCAGCGACGACGGCUGUUGAAAAGGGGCUAGGGUUUCUGUUUUUUUGUUUUUAGUUGGGCUAGGGUUUUUUAUUUUUUUGGGUUUGUUGUAAUUGGGCCUGGAUUUUAGGCCUGGACAUUUGGACUAAUUUAUUAUUUAUUAUUUGUUUGGUUUAGUAUAACGGGCAGGGCAAAUCGGGCCUGUUACAUAGAUAAAAUUAAAAAUAUGAUGAGCGCUCGUGGAACUCGUGAUCGUGUUAUUCGUGGGCACGGUAGGCUCAGC